CAACUUGCUCUUCAGGCAUCGCGGGCCUGACUUGCGCAGGAGAACCGCGCCUCCCCUCAGACCGAGGACCUCCGUCUUCACCCUUCAACUGGAUGCCCA
RNAcentral lists this small RNA (99 nucleotides) under Deinococcus gobiensis I-0. RNAcentral's name for it is "hypothetical noncoding RNA". The record is from RNAcentral. Lineage: Bacteria; Thermotogati; Deinococcota; Deinococci; Deinococcales; Deinococcaceae.